This 75-nucleotide transfer RNA is filed under the name Mariprofundales bacterium. Its description in RNAcentral is "tRNA-Gly". It matches the Rfam family "tRNA". Rfam says of the family: Transfer RNA (tRNA) molecules are approximately 80 nucleotides in length. Their secondary structure includes four short double-helical elements and three loops (D, anti-codon, and T loops). Further hydrogen bonds mediate the characteristic L-shaped molecular structure. tRNAs have two regions of fundamental functional importance: the anti-codon, which is responsible for specific mRNA codon recognition, and the 3' end, to which the tRNAs corresponding amino acid is attached (by aminoacyl-tRNA synthetases). tRNAs cope with the degeneracy of the genetic code in two manners: having more than one tRNA (with a specific anti-codon) for a particular amino acid; and 'wobble' base-pairing, i.e. permitting non-standard base-pairing at the 3rd anti-codon position. The record is from RNAcentral. Lineage: Bacteria; Pseudomonadati; Pseudomonadota; Candidatius Mariprofundia; Mariprofundales.
GCGGGCGUCGUAUAAUGGUUAUUACUCAAGCUUCCCAAGCUUGAAAUGCGGGUUCGAUUCCCGCCGCCCGCUCCA